CCGGCCGAGCAGCGCACCUGCAGCUCCUCGAAGGCGUCGUCGAUGCCGGUGACCUGGUGCUGCUCGUGCAGCGCGGGCUCGUCGCAGAAGAAGCAGAGCAGCGCGCGGAAGUCUCGGAGAUAUUCAUGAUACCAUCUGCAAGGUGAAGAAGACAGGAAGCUUUUCCGAUGUGUCUGCGCAUGCACAGCACUCAGCACACAGUAAAGCCCAGCACCUUGAGAGAAUUGUCUGUACAUCCUCCUGUGCCACCGUCAGCCCAUUGCAGCCUGCGCAUCCUCCUGGGCCAGCACCAGCCGACUGCAGCCUGAGCAUCCUCCCGGGCCAGCAGCAGCGCACUGCAGCCUACACAUCCUCCUGGGUCAGUACCAGCUCAUUGCUGCCUGCACAUCCUCCUGGGCCAAAACCAGCCCACUGCAGCCUGCACAUCCUCCUGGACCAGCAUCAGUCCACUGCAGCCUACACAUCCUCUUGUGCCAGCAUCAGCCCACCGUGGCCUGUGCAUUCUCUUGGGCCAGCAUCAGCUCACUGCAGCCUGGCUCUGCUCCCCACCACUCCAUUCAUCAUCUCCUAAUUGCCAAUUAAAAAUACUUUCGGAGACACAGUUGCUGCUGUAGAAAAACAAAAGAGAGGAAAACUAAGAAGUCACCAUUCAGAAAGAACUAUUGUUAAUAUUUGGAUCAUAUCCUUACAGAUCUUUUUCACAUAUUCUAUAUAUGUGUGCACAUGUGUGCACACACACACUCGGGUGUAGGGGAAAGGAGAAGGGGAGUUGUGGGAGAGAGAGAGAAAGAGACAUUUUUUAAAAAUAGAAAUGAGUUCACUCUCUAAAUUAGUGCUUCUCAAUACGUAGUUCUUGAGCCACAUGUGUCUUAGAAUGGGUUCUUCCAAGAGCUGACCUUAAGGUAAAGACUAAAGUGAAAAUAGUUUAUUUGGGGAGCACACGUAACACUAAUAGGGAAGUGGGAAGGUGAUACAGGGAAGGGAAGGCAGCCCCAUAAGGGUGCACUAUUGUCACAAAGGGGAACUAAAGAUUUAUCCUGCAGGGAAACUCUGGGAAACGGUACAAAACCUCAGAAUGAUUGAUGCCUCAGAAGCAUCACACCCAAAGGGUGAGGGAGCUAGGGUAUUUAUACACCAUGUUUGAGUGUUGAGGCUGCUCCCCAGUGGUGUUUAAUUCCUUGGCACUUGUGAACUGUGAUGUGUACAGUCAGCUCUCUGUAGUUCUGGGAAAAUGAUCCCUCAGCUACCAUGUGGAUGCUGGCAGUCGGAAGUCUUGUGAAUACAUUGACAGGUUUGAGAGAAAUUGGCAGGGCAUUGACAUUAUGUGUCACAGUUCACCCUUGCACCUGCUCAGAUAAACUUGCAUUCACAUUAAGUUUCAUGUUCUGUCACUGCUUCUUUGGGUGGUGGAAAGUCACGAUUUUUUACAAGAAGAGAGGAGAAGAAGGAGGAGGAAGAGGUGGAAAGGAUAACAGAUAAGAGGAGGGACAAGCUCCAGACCCCACUGCUGUAGUUGGUCCUGAAGUGUAACUGAUGCUCAGCUUCCGACUCUACCACCCUUUCUAGACGCCCCUUACCUGGUCCAGCAGGGGUCACUUCUGCCAGUUCAGAAACUCCUUUCUUAGCUUGCUGGUCUGCUGUCAUGAGGAUCCCAAAAUUACCAGAGGCAGAUACAAUUUUAGGUUUAGUAAAAUCAUAAUUAUGUCCUCUAAUAGAAGUGAUCUUUCCCUACCCUCUGAGAACUAGGAUCUCUGGUUCAACAGAGCCUAAAGCUUUGGCAAUAGAAAGCAUAAAUUUGCCGAGUGGGUCAUUGGGAAUAAAGGUGAGAGAAGCCACUCAUUUUGUGGCUUCCAGACCUAUGUAUUCUGCCUGUCGGGGAUGUAGCACCCUUACAAUAGCUAUUGUCUAAAGUGUAGAAAUACAUGUAAGGGAGGCAGGGCGCAGUGGCUCACGCCUGUAAUCCCAGCACUUUGGGAAGCUGAGAUGGGAAGAUCACGAGGUCAGG
Chlorocebus sabaeus (green monkey) is the source of this 2005-nucleotide long non-coding RNA. RefSeq lists it as uncharacterized. The record is from RefSeq and is a predicted model, not a curated record. Lineage: Eukaryota; Metazoa; Chordata; Mammalia; Primates; Cercopithecidae.